GUGAGGAAUAUUCCACAAUGGACGAAAGUCUGAUGGAGCAACGCCGCGUGGAGGAUGAAGGUCUUUGGAUCGUAAACUCCUUUUCUCAGGGAAGAGAAUGGACGGUACCUGAGGAAUAAGUCACGGCUAACUACGUGCCAGCAGCCGCGGUAAUACGUAGGUGGCGAGCGUUAUCCGGAAUUACUGGGCGUAAAGCGCACGCAGGCGGUCUUUUAAGUUUGACGUGAAAGCUCCCGGCUUAACUGGGAGAGGUCGUUGAAUACUGGGAGACUUGAGGCAAUGAGAGGGGUGUAGAAUUCCCGGUGUAGUGGUGGAAUGCGUAGAUAUCGGGAGGAAUACCAGUGGCGAAGGCGACACCCUGGCGUUGGCCUGACGCUCAUGUGCGAAAGCGUGGGGAGCGAACGGGAUUAGAUACCCCUGUAGUCC
Molecule: ribosomal RNA, 426 nt
Filed under: uncultured bacterium
Lineage: Bacteria
Description: partial 16S ribosomal RNA
Rfam family: Bacterial small subunit ribosomal RNA
Source: RNAcentral